Molecule: ribosomal RNA, 354 nt
Filed under: uncultured bacterium
Lineage: Bacteria
Description: partial 16S ribosomal RNA
Rfam family: Bacterial small subunit ribosomal RNA
Source: RNAcentral
CCUACGGGAGGCAGCAGUGGGGAAUACUGCGCAAUGGGCGAAAGCCUGACGCAGCGCCGCCGUGUGAGGGAUGAAGGUCUUCGGCUCGUAUACCUCUGUCAGCAGGGAAUAACGGUCACUGUGCUAAUCAGCAGUGAAUUGACGGUACCUGCCUAGGAAGCACCGGCUUACUCCGUGCCUGCAGCCGCGGUAAUACGGAGGGUGUGAGCGUUAUUCGGAAUUACUUGGCGUAAGGCGCUCGUAGGCAGUAUGUCAAGUCAAGGGUGAAAUACCCGCGCGCAACGUGAGAACUGCCUUUGAAACUGGCAAACUGGAGUGUGUGAGAGGAUAGUGGAAUUCCAGGUGUAGGAGUGA